UGCCAGUGAUAAACUGGAGGAAGGUGGGGAUGACGUCAAGUCAUCAUGGCCCUUACGAGUAGGGCUACACACGUGCUACAAUGGCAUAUACAAAGAGAAGCGACCUCGCGAGAGCAAGCGGACCUCAUAAAGUAUGUCGUAGUCCGGAUUGGAGUCUGCAACUCGACUCCAUGAAGUCGGAAUCGCUAGUAAUCGUAGAUCAGAAUGCUACGGUGAAUACGUUCCCGGGCCUUGUACACACCGCCCGUCACACCAUGGGAGUGGGUUGCAAAAGAAGUAGGUAGCUUAACCUUCGGGAGGGCGCUUACCACUUUGUGAUUCAUGACUGGGGUGAAGUCGUAACAAGGUAACCGUAGGGGAACCUGCGGUUGGAUCACCUCCUUA
This 384-nucleotide ribosomal RNA is filed under the name Klebsiella aerogenes. RNAcentral's name for it is "bacterial SSU rRNA". It matches the Rfam family "Bacterial small subunit ribosomal RNA", at positions 1150 to 1533 of the family's 1533-position model. Lineage: Bacteria; Pseudomonadati; Pseudomonadota; Gammaproteobacteria; Enterobacterales; Enterobacteriaceae. The record is from RNAcentral.